AGUUGGUCGAGUGCAAUGGUGUUUACAACUAAUUGAUCACAACCAGUUACAGAUUCCUUUGUUCCUUCUCCACUCCCACUGCUUCACUUGAUCAACCUUUA
This 101-nucleotide Y RNA is filed under the name Prolemur simus (greater bamboo lemur). RNAcentral describes it as "Y RNA (ENSPSMG00000004886.1)". It matches the Rfam family "Y RNA". Rfam says of the family: Y RNAs are components of the Ro ribonucleoprotein particle (Ro RNP), in association with Ro60 and La proteins. The Y RNAs and Ro60 and La proteins are well conserved, but the function of the Ro RNP is not known. In humans the RNA component can be one of four small RNAs -- hY1, hY3, hY4 and hY5. The record is from Rfam by way of RNAcentral. Lineage: Eukaryota; Metazoa; Chordata; Mammalia; Primates; Lemuridae.